AGUAUGAGUAUAACUCAGCCAGAC
Molecule: non-coding RNA, 24 nt
Filed under: Arabidopsis thaliana (thale cress)
Lineage: Eukaryota; Viridiplantae; Streptophyta; Magnoliopsida; Brassicales; Brassicaceae
Source: RNAcentral